RNAcentral lists this ribosomal RNA (305 nucleotides) under uncultured bacterium. RNAcentral's name for it is "partial 16S ribosomal RNA". It matches the Rfam family "Bacterial small subunit ribosomal RNA", at positions 505 to 807 of the family's 1533-position model. The record is from RNAcentral.
ACAGCAGCAGCCGCGGUAAUACGUAGGUGGCAAGCGUUGUCCGGAAUUAUUGGGCGUAAAGGGCUCGCAGGCGGUUUCUUAAGUCCGAUGUGAAAGCCCCCGGCUCAACCGGGGAGGGUCAUUGGAAACUGGGAAACUUGAGUGCAGAAGAGGAGAGUGGAAUUCCACGUGUAGCGGUGAAAUGCGUAGAGGUGUGGAGGAACACCAGUGGCGAAGGCGACUCUCUGGUCUGUAACUGACGCUGAGGAGCGAAAGCGUGGGGAGCGAACAGGAUUAGAUACCCGCGUAGUCCCUGUCUCUUAUAC